UUGAUUUACUAUUGUUAUCAUGAAAACUUCUCAAGAACACCAGAAGCUAAUACUCUAGAAGAGACCUAGUUUGUCCUCUUCAAUUUUUCUUAAACCCCAAACAAUGGUGAUUUUGAGAUUUCCUCCGCACAAACUAACGAAACAACAGUGAAACUUUAAGGUUAAGCUCAAUCAAACGAGUCCUAAAACAAAUUCGCAAAGAAUCAUCAACGUUUUUCAGAUUUGGAUUUUCAAAUUUCAAACCUCAAGCUUCAUUCGUGGUGAUUCAACAAUGAAUUGAACACUUCGAUGAGUUAUAAGAAAGACAAGUUUGUUCAAAGAUUUCAACUUUGAUGGAUUAUGACAAAGAAAUUCUGGAGGAGGAAGAAGGGCAGUGUGGUGGUUGUCAGGGCAGAGGUCGCUGGCAACUUUAUCUCCAUGUCCGAUUGAGAAACACAAUUUUCUUCCGUUUAAAAUCAAAGGUGAUGGACUGGUGAAGCGGUAGCUGUUUUGAUGAAGGUGAAGGCGGCCGGCGGCGGCUGGUUGGGAGGUGAGUAGGAUGUGGCUACAACUUUUUACAUGGUUCAUCAUUCAAUAUAUAAAUCCUCAAAGAUGUUCAUGUUUACAGACCUGAAAUACUUUUAGGCUUUGAUUUCUUUUAUUCUGUAUUCAUUUUUCUGAUCUUUAAAUCUUCACAAAAAGAGGGUAAACAGGAAGGGAGGGGUCAAAAAAAUGAGCACGGGUCUCUAUAAUUCGGGUUAGUAUUUGCCCAGUUGGCACAUUAAAUGAGGGGUCCUACUGCCACGUGUUAGGAUUAGGGACGGGUUUGUAUACUUUACUUAACAGUGGGUGUAUAUUUGGACCGAAAGUGGAAACGGGUAUAAACAAGACUAAUUUUCGAUAGUAUAGGGACAAUUUUGGCCUUUUUCCCAAACUACUAGAUAACCUUGUCAAACGAGGUUGAAUAUAACCUUCACAACUGCGUUCGAGGUUCAGCCUGUUCUCGAGUGAUUUUCAUCGACAAAAAACUGCGAUUUGAUUCUUUCCCAAUCAAUCUUUAUUUGAUCCCACGUCUGCAUAAGAUUAGCUAUUGGUACGUUACUAUUCCAAUCAGACUUUAAACUCUCCCACUUCUACAUAAUUUCAUCCAUUAUAAGCUUCCUACUUCCUUUAGCACCAGACAUUAUUUUUUAAAAAUUGCUAAAAGGCUAAGGAUGAAUAUAAAUUUAAAGAAAUAUGAUAGAAGUCUAUGGAUGACUAUGAAAUUUUCAAGCGCAGAGAUUAUUAAUAUACCCAAAGAAUGCACCUAAUCAGUUUAAUAUCUAUAAAUGCAAAGGUAACUUUUCAAGUCUGUUUACUGUUUUACGUUUAGAGAAAUUGAAUGUAACAAGAUAAGUAGGUGGUAAAAGAAAACAAGUAGGUAGUAAAUGCAAAAAGAAAUGUAAUUUCAGGUCCACAGUUUUUCUAUGGUAAAAAAAUAACUUCAGCCUGAAAAUUUUUACAUAAUCAAAUAAAAAAUUCUUCAUUUAUUAUUUGUAAAUGCAAAAGUAACUUUUCAGCUCAUUUACUAUAUGGUCAGACAAAUUUAAAUGUAAGAUGAUGUAGGUGAUAAAAGACGAAAAAUAGCUUGUAAAUGCAAAAAAAUAAGUAUCAAGUUAAAAAAUAUCAAAACAUGCUGAAGUUUUGUCUUGCUGUCUGAGAUUUAGCAAUGAGUUUUCCCUAAAAACUUCAGAACAAAAAUGCUGAAGUUAUUUAUUUCAUGUGCUAAAACUUCAGACUGAACAUGCUGCAGCUUUUUUAUUCAUUUCCUAACACUUCACACUAAACAUGCAGAAGGUAAAACUUCAUGCUAAUAUAGCUUGAACUUGUUAUUUAGUUCAUUUGCUAAAAACUUUAUACCAAAACACGAUGAAGUUUUUGUCCUACAGUCAACACUUUUGUUAUGAGUUUUAUUCGAAACUUCAGCCUAAACAAGUAGUAGAAGUUAUUUAGUUCAUUUGCUAAAAAUUCAGACUAAGCAUGCUGAUUUCACAAAAAUAUAGUUAAGUUCAUGAUAAAAGAGACAAAAGUAUUUGAUACAAUCCAAGACAACUUCAGACUAAUUAACGCGAAUAGAACAAAAAUGUAAAAGACAGACAUCACAUAAUCCAAAAAAAUUAAUGUAUAUUCAUAAAUCCAAUUUGUUUUCACUUACAUCCUUGAAAAAAUAACAAAAAAGAAAAAAAUUGUUUUUCAUUUACAAGACUGUCUUCAUAUUCUCUAUAGUCAUGUCCUAGUUGCUCUUCUGGAGUUUCAUAACCGCUAUUUUCUUUUCACUUUCCAUGAGCCCAAAGAUUUGUAGGCAAUUUUCUUCUGAAUGUCAAGGCAUCACUUUGAUUGAAUUUGAAGACAUCAUCUUGCUACAACUGCAACUCAAGGAACUUAAGAGCAAAUAUACCCACAAUCAACACUACAAAAAGAACAUGAGAAAAAAUUGAAGAAUAGUUAACACAAAAAGAACAAACGAUAAACAUAAGAUGCAUGGUAAACAUAUGCCAAACACGUACUUGUUAUCUUGUAGGGGUGUGUUCAUCCACUUAAUCGUAAAUUUUUCCAUGGGAUUUUCCCCAUAAAUUUUAUUGUGUGUGCUGGUUCAAGCAUUUAAGACAGUGUCAGAUCAGUCGGACAUAAUUUUGGACAUGUUCAACCGCACGAUCAUAUGGUGUACUGCUCAUGGAAUCACACAAAAAUAUAGUUUCUUUUUUUAAAGUGCAGAAUUCCAAGAAAGUAGUGGGUAGAUGUCUACCCCCCCUCCCCGGCUUAAGUCGAAAUGGAAAGAAUACAUUUUUGGUAGAUGCCCAUGUGAUACUACAUGAGAGGUCAAUGCCUUUUACGUAGUUGGACACCCUUUCAGCAGUUGAUUCUUCAAUAAACCAGGUAAACUCGGUAAGAUCCUCAAUCUCCACUUCUUCUUCAUAAUCCUCAGCUUCCCGUUUUUUGACAGUCCACUUUCUCUUUGAUUCGCUCUUUUUUCCUUCCAUUUUUUUCUCCUCCAUUGUCUUUUCCUUCCUUAUUCAAAUAUUCUCCUUCUAUUCAUUUGAAGGAUGAACACUAGCCAACUUAGUCAUAUACUGAUUAAAAAGUAAAGUUGUUACUGCACAUUUUGAUUUUGGAUAACUUGAAAGGCGAUGACAAUAUUUUUGCACAAGAAAUAUACGCUCACUUCAAUAUGCUGCAAAUGAACAACAACAAAAGAAAAUAUGUGACAUUAAGCAAAAUAUAAUUCAUAGUAAAAAAUAAGUUUAGCUAAUGAAAUAAAAAACUUCAGCAUGCAUAAGUAUGAAGUUUAGAAAAAAUGCAUUACAAAACGACAAACUGCAUGACAAAAACUUAAGCAUAUUCAGUAUGAAGUGUUAGGAAGUAAAUUAAAAAACUUCAGCAUGUUUAGUCUGAUGUUUUGGCAAAUAAGCUAAACAACUUCAGCAAUUUUUAGCAUGCAUAAGUCUGAUGUUUACCAAACUACAGUACAAAAACUUUAAAACAAACAUUAGGCUGAAGUUUUAGGAAAUAGAGUUGAAAACCAAUUCAAAAAACAAACUUUAUAACUUACUACAUCCGAAAGAUCAGAGGUAGGGUCCACAAGCUUGGUAAAGAAUGACUUUGGAAUAUCAAAAUUCCAGCUAAUCUGAAUGGCUUGGAAUUAUAUUCACUGGUGUCUUCAACCAGUCUGUAAAUCUCUGCAUCAAUCCACUGUAUUGAUUAACAUAAUGGAAGAGACAUCUUCGUGUAGUCUUUCCUGCUUUUCAAUCUUUCCCCCUUGGCUUUUGUUUAGGAAUGACGUAAGGAGAUUUCAAUCAAAUACUCUCCAUACGAAUCCUUUUCCCUAUUUUAGCUGGUUUUCUUUUUGCUUGCUCUUCCUGCAGAAGGCACUGGUGUAGAAGGUAAUUCUGUUGUUGUUGUUGUUGGUGAAGAGAGACAAAAACAUCGUGAACAACAGGGAGUUGGUCAAGUAUCUCCCGCUAUGGCUGUGGAUUUUUCAGCUGCUGCUGAACCGCAACAGUUAGUUGUGACGGAACAGCAGGAAGAACAAGCAAAAAGAAAACCAGCUAAAAUAGGAAAAAGAAUUCGUAUGGAGAGUAUUUGGUUGAAAUCUUUUUACGUCAUUCCUAAACAAAAUCUAAGGAGGCAAGAUUGGAAAGUAGGAAAGACUACACGAAGGUGUCCCUUCCAUUAUAUUAAUCAAUACAGUGGAUUGAUGCAGAGAUUUAUAGACUGGUUGAAGACGGAUAUAAGUGGAUUCCAAGCCAUUCAAAUUAGCUGGAAGCUGGAAUUUUGAUAUUCCAAAGUCAUUCUUUACCGAGCUUGUGGACCCUACUUCUGAUCUUUCGGAUGAAGUAAGUUAUUAAGUUUGUUUUUUGAAUUUAUUUUCAACUGUAUUUCCUAAAACUUCAGCCUUAUGUUUGUUUUAAAGUUUUUGUACUGUAAUUUGGUAAACAUCAGGCAUAAGUAUGCUAUAAAACUGCUGAAGUUAUUUGACUUAUUUGCUAAAACUUCAGACUAAACAUGCUGAAGUUAGCACUUCAUACUGAAUAUGCUUUAAUUUUUGUCAUGCAGUUUGUAGUUUUGUAAUGCGUUUUUUCUAAACUUCAUACUUAAUGCAUGCUGAAGUUUUUUAUUUCAUUAGCGAAACUUAUUUUUUACUAUGAAUUAUAUUUUGCUUAAUUUCAUAUAUCUUCUUUUGUUGUUGUUUAUUUGUAGCAUAUUGAAGUGAGUGGUUAUUUCUUGCGAAAAAAUAUUAGUAUCACCUUCCAAAUUAUCCAAAAUCAAAAUAUGCAGUAACAAAUUUAUUUUUUGAUCAGUAUAUGACUAAGUUGGCUAGUGUUCAUCCUUCAAAUUAACAAAAGGAGAAAAUUAGAAUAAGGAAGGAAAAGAGAAUGGAUGAGAAAAAAUGGAAGGGAAAAAGAGCAAAUCAAAGAGAAAGUGGACUGUCAAAAAACAAGAAGCUGAGGAUUAUGAAGAAGAAGAAGUGGAGAUUGAGGAUCUUAUCGAGUUUACAUAGUUUAUUGAAGAAUCAACUGCUGAAAAGGUGGCCAACUACGUAAAAGGCAAUACCUUUCAUGUGGUAUCACAUGGGCAUCUACUGAAAAAGUAUUCUUCCAUUAGGGGCAGACAUCUACGCACUACUUUCUUGGAAUUCCAUGAGCAAUACACCAUAUGAGCGUGCGGUUGAACAUGUCCAAAAAUUAUGCCUGGUUGAUCCCACACUUUCAAAUGCUUGAACUUUGGCACACACAAUAAAAUUUAUAGGGAAAAUCUUGUGGAAAAAAUUUGCGAUUAAGAGGAUGAACAUACCCCUACAGGAUAACAAGUACGUGUUUGGCAUAUGUUUACCAUGCAUCAUUUAUCGUUUGUUCUUUUUGUGUUAACUAUUCUUCAAUUUUUUCUCAUGUUCUUUUUGUAAUAUUGAUUGUGGUAUAUUUGCUCUUAAGUUCCUUGAGUUGCGGUUGUAGCAAGAUGAUGUCUUCAAAUUCAAUCAAAGUGAUGCCUUGACAUUCAGAAGAAAAUUGCCUGCAAAUCUUUGGGCUCAUGGAAAGUGGAAAGAAAAUAGCGGUUAUGAAACUCCAGAAGAGCAACUAGGACAUGACUAUAGAGAAUAUGAAGACAGUCUAUGUGAAUUUUUCGAUAGAGAAUAACUUGUAAAUGAAAAAUAAAUUUUUUCUUUUUUGUUAUUUUUUCAAGGAUGUAAGUGAAAACAAAAUUGGAUUUAUGAAUAUACAUUAAUUUUUUUGAAUUAUGUGAUGUCUGUCUUUUACAUUUUUGUUCUAUUCGCGUUAAUUAGUCUGAAGUUGUCUUAGAUUGUAUCAAAUACUUUUGUCUCUUUUAUCAUGAACUUAACUAUGAUUUUGUGAAAUCAGACAUGAUUAGUCUGAAUUUUUAGCAAAUGAACUCUACUUGUUUAGGCUGAAGUUUCGAAUAAAACUCAUAACAAAAGUGUUGACUGUAGGACAAAAACUUCAUCAUGUUUGGUUUGAAGUUUUAGCUUCAAUGUGAAACAACUUCAAGCUAUAUUAGCAUGAAGUUUUACCUUCUACAUGUUUAAUGUAAAGUGUUAGGAAAUGAACAUAAAAACUUCAGCAUGUUCCGUCUGAUGUUUUAGCACAUGAACUAAAUAACUUCAACAUUUUUGUUCUGAAGUUUUUAAGGAAAACUCAUUGCUAAACCUCAGAUUGCAGGACAAAACUUUAGCAUGUUUUGGUAUUUUUAGCAUGUUUGAUCAUUAUAUGAAAAUUUUUCAGGCUGAAGUUGUUUUUUUGCUAUAGAAAAACUGUGGACUUAUUAGGCUGAAGUUACAUUUCUUUUUGCAUUUACCACCUGCUUGUUUCCUUUGCAUUUAUAAAUAUUAAAUUGAUUAGGUGCACUCUUUGGGUAUAUUAACAAUCUCUUCACUUGAAAAUUUCAUAG
Long non-coding RNA from Nicotiana tabacum (common tobacco), 6420 nucleotides. RefSeq lists it as uncharacterized. NCBI's taxonomy places the organism in Eukaryota, Viridiplantae, Streptophyta, Magnoliopsida, Solanales, Solanaceae. The record is from RefSeq and is a predicted model, not a curated record.